Molecule: ribosomal RNA, 407 nt
Filed under: uncultured Acidovorax sp.
Lineage: Bacteria; Pseudomonadati; Pseudomonadota; Betaproteobacteria; Burkholderiales; Comamonadaceae
Description: bacterial SSU rRNA
Rfam family: Bacterial small subunit ribosomal RNA
Source: RNAcentral
GAGAACCUGCACACAGGUGCUGCAUGGCUGUGGUCAGCUCGUGUCGUGAGAUGUUGGGUUAAGUCCCGCAACGAGCGCAACCCUUGCCAUUAGUUGCUACGAAAGGGCACUCUAAUGGGACUGCCGGUGACAAACCGGAGGAAGGUGGGGAUGACGUCAAGUCCUCAUGGCCCUUAUAGGUGGGGCUACACUCGUCAUACAAUGGCUGGUACAGAGGGUUGCCAACCCGCGAGGGGGAGCUAAUCCCAUAAAGCCAGUCGUAGUCCGGAUCGCAGUCUGCAACUCGACUGCGUGAAGUCGGAAUCGCUAGUAAUCGCGGAUCAGAAUGUCGCGGUGAAUACGUUCCCGGGUCUUGUACACACCGCCCGUCACACCAUGGGAGCGGGUUCUGCCAGAAGUAGUUAGCC